AACGAACGCUGGCGGCAUGCCUAACACAUGCAAGUCGAACGAGACCUUCGGGUCUAGUGGCGCACGGGUGCGUAACGCGUGGGAACCUGCCCUUAGGUUCGGAAUAACUCCCCGAAAGGGGUGCUAAUACCGGAUAAUGUCUUCGGACCAAAGAUUUAUCGCCUUUGGAUGGGCCCGCGUUGGAUUAGCUAGUUGGUAGGGUAAAAGCCUACCAAGGCGACGAUCCAUAGCUGGUCUGAGAGGAUGAUCAGCCACACUGGGACUGAGACACGGCCCAGACUCCGACGGGAGGGAGCAGUGGGGAAUAUUGGACAAGGGGCGAAAGCCUGAUCCAGCAAUGCCGCGUGAGUGAUGAAGGCCUUAGGGUUGUAAAGCUCUUUUACCCGGGAUGAUAAUGACAGUACCGGGAGAAUAAGCACCGGCUAACUCCGUG
RNAcentral lists this ribosomal RNA (433 nucleotides) under uncultured bacterium. Its description in RNAcentral is "partial 16S ribosomal RNA". It matches the Rfam family "Bacterial small subunit ribosomal RNA", at positions 29 to 507 of the family's 1533-position model. The record is from RNAcentral.